CAUGCACAGGUGGGGUCCCUCGGCCUGGCCUGUGCCCGCUUACAAUCCUGGACCCCUCAGGGGAUGUUGGACGAUUUUGGCUCUAUCCCUGCAGGCCAGGCUGAGGGACCCCACCAGUGCAUG
RNAcentral lists this microRNA precursor (123 nucleotides) under Myotis brandtii (Brandt's bat). RNAcentral's name for it is "mir-9193 microRNA precursor family". It matches the Rfam family "mir-9193 microRNA precursor family". The record is from Rfam by way of RNAcentral. Lineage: Eukaryota; Metazoa; Chordata; Mammalia; Chiroptera; Vespertilionidae.